Molecule: ribosomal RNA, 497 nt
Filed under: uncultured bacterium
Lineage: Bacteria
Description: partial 16S ribosomal RNA
Rfam family: Bacterial small subunit ribosomal RNA
Source: RNAcentral
GAUGAACGCUGGCGGCGUGCCUAAUACAUGCAAGUCGAGCGAACAGACGAGGAGCUUGCUCCUCUGACGUUAGCGGCGGACGGGUGAGUAACACGUGGAUAACCUACCUAUAAGACUGGGAUAACUUCGGGAAACCGGAGCUAAUACCGGAUAAUAUAUUGAACCGCAUGGUUCAAUAGUGAAAGACGGUUUUGCUGUCACUUAUAGAUGGAUCCGCGUCGCAUUAGCUAGUUGGUAAGGUAACGGCUUACCAAGGCGACGAUGCGUAGCCGACCUGAGAGGGUGAUCGGCCACACUGGAACUGAGACACGGUCCAGACUCCUACGGGAGGCAGCAGUAGGGAAUCUUCCGCAAUGGGCGAAAGCCUGACGGAGCAACGCCGCGUGAGUGAUGAAGGUCUUCGGAUCGUAAAACUCUGUUAUUAGGGAAGAACAAAUGUGUAAGUAACUAUGCACGUCUUGACGGUACCUAAUCAGAAAGCAACGGCUAACUACGUG